CUUCAGGUCCAUCAGUGCAAUACGCUACAACAGCCGUCAUGUAUAGAGAUUUGUCCAAAAUCUUGCCAAACAAACGAAACAAUACAAAUAACAAGGCGGAUGAUACUGAUGAUGUUAUAAAUGCACCCAUUCUUUCGUUGACAAUUUCACCACCAAUAAAGUCGAAUAAAUUGGAUCCACCACUCCAAUUAAAUUUUACUCAUGACAUGACUAAUUUCUCUAAUCCAUUGUGUUCGUAUUGGGCAUUUCCAAAGUAAGUAAGCUUCGAUAUG
Ruditapes philippinarum (Manila clam) is the source of this 272-nucleotide long non-coding RNA. RefSeq lists it as uncharacterized. The transcript has 3 exons. The record is from RefSeq and is a predicted model, not a curated record. NCBI's taxonomy places the organism in Eukaryota, Metazoa, Mollusca, Bivalvia, Venerida, Veneridae.